RNAcentral lists this ribosomal RNA (253 nucleotides) under uncultured bacterium. RNAcentral's name for it is "partial 16S ribosomal RNA". It matches the Rfam family "Bacterial small subunit ribosomal RNA", at positions 524 to 776 of the family's 1533-position model. The record is from RNAcentral.
UACGUAGGUGGCAAGCGUUGUCCGGAUUUAUUGGGUUUAAAGGGUGCGUAGGCGGCUUUGUAAGUCAGUGGUGAAAUAUGGCAGCCCAACUGUCAAGGUGCCAUUGAUACUGCGGAGCUUGAGUACAGAUGAGGUAGGCGGAAUUGACGGUGUAGCGGUGAAAUGCUUAGAUAUCGUCAAGAACACCUAUAGCGAAGGCAGCUUACUAGGCUGUAACUGACGCUGAGGCACGAAAGUGUGGGGAUCAAACAGG